RNAcentral lists this long non-coding RNA (408 nucleotides) under Homo sapiens (human). RNAcentral's name for it is "non-protein coding lnc-MAT2B-3:5". Lineage: Eukaryota; Metazoa; Chordata; Mammalia; Primates; Hominidae. The record is from RNAcentral.
CUGUGGGAGCAGCAUCAAGCAAGACUUCGGGCAGUGAUUCUAACUAUUGCCUAUGAACACCGUGGCUGGGACGACUUUGACGAGGCAAUUUAUUACUUACGCAUAGAACACUGGCUGUGCUGAAACUGGGAGCGCAAACAGCCCCUUGUUUUCUAAUUUAGAGACUUGCAUCUUUUCGACACUCAACAGUAUCAAGACACUCUGCUACUACAGAUUGAUUUCCACCAUCAACACCUUUACCUCUUCCCGCCUGAAAAUAAAAUAUGAAAUAUAACAAGUAAAUCGCAAUCUACCUUGAAUCUUCUGGAGAGGAAAGAAGAAACCAUGUCUAGACAAGGUGCUGGAAAGACCCAGGGAAGACACAGGGAAAUCAUCUUUCGGGAAUUUAUCUAAGAAGAACUUCUUAUG